Molecule: long non-coding RNA, 741 nt
Organism: Pecten maximus
Lineage: Eukaryota; Metazoa; Mollusca; Bivalvia; Pectinida; Pectinidae
Exons: 4
Source: RefSeq, a predicted model, not a curated record
GAUGAGAGUAUCUGUUGAACAGGUAGGUACACCCAGACACUAUUCUUGUUUUAAUUAACGACUGAUGAGAGUAUCUGUUGAACAGGUAGGUACACCCAGACACUAUUCUUGUUUUAAUUAACGACUGAUGAGAGUAUCUGUGGAACAGGUAGGUACACCCAGACACUAUUCUUGUUUUAAUUAACGACUGAUGAGAGUAUCUGUAGAACAGGUAGGUACACCCAGACACUAUUCUUGUUUUAAUUAACGACUGAUGAGAGUAUCUGUUGAACAGGUAGGUACACCCAGACACUAUUCUUGUUUUAAUUAGCGACUGAUGAAUCUGUAGAACAGGUAGGUACACCCAGACACUAUUCUUGUUUUAAUUAACGACUGAUGAGAGUAUCUGUUGAACAGGUAGGUACACCCAGACACUAUUCUUGUUUUAAUUAACGACUGAUGAGAGUAUCUGUUGAACAGGUAGGUACACCCAGACACUAUUCUUGUUUUAAUUAACGACUGAUGAGAGUAUCUGUUGAACAGGUAGGUACACCCAGACACUAUUCUUGUUUUAAUUAACGACUGAUGAGAGUAUCUGUAGAACAGGUAGGUACACCCAGACACUAUUCUUGUUUUAAUUAACGACUGAUGAAUCUGUGGAACAGGAAGGUACACCCAGACACUAUUCUUGUUUUAAUUAACGUUAAUCUCUUGUUCUUUGGCGUUAUAUAUUCAUGUUGAGGCUCCUGUUAAUAUUAAAUU